This 253-nucleotide ribosomal RNA is filed under the name uncultured bacterium. RNAcentral describes it as "partial 16S ribosomal RNA". It matches the Rfam family "Bacterial small subunit ribosomal RNA", at positions 524 to 776 of the family's 1533-position model. The record is from RNAcentral.
AACGUAGGUUCCGAGCGUUAUCCGGAUUUACUGGGCGUAAAGCGCGUUCAGGCGGUUUGGCAAGUCGGGCAUGAAAUCUCUGGGCUCAACCCGGAGAGGUUGUCCGAUACUGCUAAACUGGAGGGCAGUAGAGGGUGGUGGAAUUCCGGGUGUAGUGGUGAAAUGCGUAGAGAUCCGGAAGAACACCAGUGGCGAAAGCGGCCACCUGGACUGCACCUGACGCUGAAACGCGAAAGCUAGGGGAGCGAACGGG